RNAcentral lists this transfer RNA (58 nucleotides) under Haemadipsa yanyuanensis. RNAcentral describes it as "tRNA-Thr". The record is from RNAcentral. Lineage: Eukaryota; Metazoa; Annelida; Clitellata; Hirudinida; Haemadipsidae.
UGUUAAAUAGUUUAUAUAAAAUAUUAAUUUUGUAAAUUAAAGAAGGGUUCUUUAACUA